UGCAAUGUGAAUAUAAAAGACGUCUUCCAAUUUUCAUUUUGGACAUAACGAGCUUUCCUCUUUCCUUCUUCUCUCUUUCUAAGAAAUUAGCCACAUCACAACCUCAAGAAAAUUACACCAUCAACAAUAUUCUUAUUAAUUAGUAGCAACAGCACAAGUUGUUCUCCCAAAAAUAUUAAUUAGAGGGAAGAACAAAAGAAACCUGAAGAAGAAAAUAUGGGAAAUUGCUGGCCUAAAUCUGUAGAUAAUCUUCCUAGCUCUAACAAAUUUUCUAGCCCUCCUCCAGGUAUAUAGUAUAUAUGGCGGAGAAGGAGGAUUUGGAACUGUAUUUAAAGGAUUUGGAACUGUAUUUAAAGUUGGAGUUGGAAUUCCAGUUGCUGUUAAAAAAUCAAAUCCUAUAUUGAAAAAGGUCUCAAGGAAUGGCAGGUUUCUUGUUAUUUUCCUUGCUUUAAUUUCCAAUGUAUUUGAAUUUAUUGGUCCGACUACUUAGCAGCAUCAUCAGAUUUUCAACGAAUUGUUAAAUCCUAUUAUAAAUUUUGCCUUUAAAACUAGUCAGAUAAGUUUAUGCUAUUUAGACAAAUAGAUUAACGGGAGAUAUAAUUAUUUUUUGAAAAGGACAUUUACGCAAAUGCUCCUUUAUUAUUAGGGCUUAAUUCAGACUUCUGGUUAAUGUUGGAGAUAUCUAUUACUCGGUAAAAAAAUUACUAUUACUGAUUAUUUUUAUUAAAUCAAUACAUGCUGUAAGAUAUAUGGACUUAUAUCUACAUACAUAUGAACCAUAUAUGGAUAAAUUAUAUGUUAU
This 802-nucleotide long non-coding RNA is filed under the name Nicotiana benthamiana. Its description in RNAcentral is "long non-coding RNA (NBEN_LNC009917)". Lineage: Eukaryota; Viridiplantae; Streptophyta; Magnoliopsida; Solanales; Solanaceae. The record is from RNAcentral.